GGGGGAGCGCGUUCGGCUGUGGCUCUCUGCUCUGACGUCCCUGCUAAAGCUGGGCUGGGUCAGAGCGCGUUCGAGUCAUCAGAGCGCAGAAUCACAGGUUUUGUGAAAGCAGCCUCUUAGAUGAGGAAGGCUUGUGAGGGCACCAGCUUAAAGGACGAGCAGUGGGUGAGCCAAGAUAUUACAAGGCACUGUAAAAUCCACACAGGAAGCAGCAUAAGCAACAUUGUCUGGGUUUAGAUGAACAUUUCAGAAGGCAAAGGAUGAAAAUUCUUUUUCAUCAAGAUUGAAUUCUAAUAGAUAUCAUGGAAAAAAUAAAAAGGACUUUGAAAAUUGUUCCUGCUGGCUG
This 346-nucleotide long non-coding RNA is filed under the name Chloebia gouldiae (Gouldian finch). Its description in RNAcentral is "Erythrura gouldiae (Gouldian finch) lncRNA (ENSEGOG00005000424.1)". The record is from RNAcentral. Lineage: Eukaryota; Metazoa; Chordata; Aves; Passeriformes; Passeridae.